Molecule: long non-coding RNA, 219 nt
Filed under: Elaeis guineensis (African oil palm)
Lineage: Eukaryota; Viridiplantae; Streptophyta; Magnoliopsida; Arecales; Arecaceae
Description: long non-coding RNA (EGUI_LNC003208)
Source: RNAcentral
UGAGGUAGAUGGAUCACAAAGAAUAAAUUACUUUGAGAACUGUGUAAGCAGAUGAAUGAUAGAAGAUGGAGUGUCUUAAGAUCUAUGAAGGUAAAUAGAUGAUAAAAGAUAGAGUGUUUUGAGAUAUAUGCAAGAGUAAAGAAUGGAGCACUUUGAGAUCUAUGCAAAUGGAUGGAUGAUCGAGGAUUGAAUACUUUGAGAUAUAUAUAGGUAGAUGGA